RNAcentral lists this ribosomal RNA (218 nucleotides) under uncultured bacterium. Its description in RNAcentral is "partial 16S ribosomal RNA". It matches the Rfam family "Bacterial small subunit ribosomal RNA", at positions 116 to 334 of the family's 1533-position model. The record is from RNAcentral.
CAUCGGAACAUGUCCAUUCGUGGGGGAUAGCCCGGCGAAAGCCGGAUUAAUACCGCAUACGCCCUGAGGGGGAAAGCGGGGACUUCGCAAGAGGCCUCGCGCGAUUGGGUUGGCCGAUGUCCGAUUAGCUAGUUGGUGAGGUAAAGGCUCACCAAGGCGAUGAUCGGUAGCUGGUCUGAGAGGAUGAUCAGCCACACUAGGACUGAGACACGGCCCAG